CCUAAUACACGCUCCAUCUCUCCAUCUCUCCGCCUCUCCUCUUUGCCGAUUCUCUCAGAUCAAAUCAGAUCAUUGGAUUCUUCGCCGCUCGAAACCCUGGUGCAUUUCUAUUCUUCUUUCUCACGCUUUGACAUUCUCCACAACCGUAGAAACCAAAGUUGUUCAUCCUGUUCUUCGUUCAAUAAUCCUUCAUCAGUCGUAUCUCCCCAUUAAAAGGGGCUCGCACAUGUUCUGCAGUACCCCCUGUGAAUACUCCGCCAGGGAUAGCCGAGCCACUUCCCUUUCUUUAUGAUGCUCUUGCCCUUCACCUGCUUCUCGAUUUCUCAUCCAAAACAUUUGAUUCCUUUCAAAAGGAUGUCCCUUGCAAGCGAUUUCCACAGAAGUCUAACUAUGUUCUGGAUUGCUUUUCACCUUCUUCUCGAAUUCUAAUAAAAAUCGAUUGAAUUUCAAAACCACCCCUGUUGCAAUCGAUUUCCUCAGUUAGGGUUCAUCGUAUUUAAGGUAUUUAAGAAUGAGCUCUGAAUAAACCAAGUUUUUUUGUGCAAUAACUCAUAAUCAAAACAUCAGGUAACAAAAAAAAAUAAUAAACAAUAUAUAACAAAAAACUUAGAAAGCCUCAAACCAUAAUAGAAGCUGGAAUAGCUUAGUUGGUUAGACCAAAUUUCGGGGAUUUAGACGUGUUUUGGUUCCAGGUCAAUUUUGGAUGUUUUAAACCGCGGUUAGCUGGUUAGACCUAUAUUAUCACUCUUCUUUUUCCUUGCUAACUCAUGAAUAGGCUACAUGAAUGAUGAAACUCACUUUUUUGAUUUUGAGAUUUAUUACAGCCUUCCGUUUUAAAACAAAUCUUACUUUUCAAGAUCUAAUUUUGUUAUAUAUGUAGCGUGCAACUAUCUACAUUGUUGCUGGAUCAUUAGUGGCCUGGUCUUAACUCUUAGCAGUCUUACAAAGGUAAUUAACACAUUCUAGCUCGAACUUGCAGUCUUACGUUUCAGAAAACAUCUAAAACAUAUGCAAGUGUUUAUGCCUCAGAUACUAGAGUAAAUUCUUUAUGUAAAUGAGACUUUAAAAGCCUUUAUGUAUUUUUGUCUCUCAAAGCAAUGAUUUACAUGUAGCUGGUACUAUCAAUGUAAGUUUUUUAUGAUUUGUAGAAACUUGAUUUACCAUCAUUUAUUCAUCUUUUAGGGUUUUAAAAAAAUGUGUUGGUUCAUUUGUUUAGAUUUGUUCAUCGCUUAGGGUUUUAAAAACAUUAUUUGUGUUUUAGAUUUAUAAGAACUUCAUGUUUUCCGAUUAUAUGUCGUGAACUUGCGAUUCAUGUUUCAAUUAUGUGAGAUGAACACCAAAGACGGUGCCGGAAUACUCGUUGUUUCGAUUUGGUGAGUUUUUUUCCUAUUCGAUGAGUUAGGUUUCGGGAGUACAUUGAUUAGGUGUCCAGUUUGUUUGGAGACAAUGCAAUCAGGCGUCAUCAAGCAAUAGCCGUAAAGGUUUCUCAAAUCUACAUAUGCCGGUCAAUACCACGUGUUCCCUUAUAGGUUUCCCAUCUUUUCACGCGUCUUCAUCUGCCCACCAUAUGUAUUGCCGCACACAUUACCGCAUCUUUCCCGACGAAGAUAUUUUAAUCUACCUACACAAAAGGUGGCAGCAAUGAAGGGAAUCCAUUGAUGAAGGAAGCUGCGGUGAUUGACCAGCAUAUGUAGUUUGAGAAACCUUAGAAUGUGAUAUUACUCUUUCAAGUCUUGCAAGCUAUAAGAAGGCUGAAGGAAAUUCCAAUGGUAGAAAGGAAAUGAUAUGCUGAUUACACGGAUCAUCAUUAUCUAGCCUGCUGGAGGACGCCGAUGACCACCGAUUUUGGCAGAGAGAUGAAGGAAUUAUGCUUCAUAUGACACAUAUUGCUUUAGCGAUUCAAUCUCAUAACAGGUAUAUCUGUGUGUUAUAAAGCAUUCUGGCGAAAGUGAUUUGGUGGAACGUUUAAUUGAGGAUCAAACUCCGCAUUAAAAUUGUUUUUGAAACUUGGCGGAGAUGAUUAAAAUUGGGCGAAGACAAGUCGGGUAAAUGUUGGAAGAUUUGGAGAGGCAAUUAAAGAGACAUACAGUAUAGAAAACGAGCAUUUGAACUCUGGUAUAGAGAUAGACAAGAACGUUCUAGCAAAUCGGAUCUGGUUGAGAUCCAUGUGGGACCUGCUACAGAUCUUGAUCAUGAAUAUUUCAAUCAUAAGAAGAUGUAGGGUGAUGGUUAAUCUUUGGGUACAUGCUGAACGCAAUGAAAUUUCAAGCAAUCGCUUCACGGUAUCACCAUAUUUCCUAUUAAUUAUAUUGAUUCAUGACUUUUAAUUGUUUAACUCAAUUGAUUAUAUUGAUUUAAGGAUCCGGAAAACAAUGAAUAUUAAUUCCCAUAAUGCAAGGGUUAGUUUUCAUUUGACAAAUCGGUUGUAGACGAAAUUCAAUCUAAAGUUAGCAGUUGUACAGAAAGCAAUGACCAGAGUACACUUCCUGACAAAAUAGACGUCGUCUGUACGGACGUUGAAGGCAUUUUCUAUCCAAAUCUUCACUGAUUCAGUGUAAGUGUGGUUCAUGUGGGACCAGGAAGCAAACUCCAUCCGAAUGGGAACGACAUACUGGUUCCAGAGCAAAAAAAGUGGAAAGUCAGCAUUAAAGUCAAAGAUUCGAUGUUACCGCCAGAAAAAUACGUUUGUUUUUCAUCUCAUCUACUUUGAUUAAACUUGCAUAUUAUAAAAUUGGUUAUUACGCUAAGGCUCUUUUCGAAUCAACUAGAUGAACAACAACUGUUUUCGUUUAUUCAAGAGAAGUAUGAAUCUGUUUAUGCAAAGUGGACAACCGAACGAUGUGCAAUUUGUAGAUGGGAUGAAGAUUAUGAUGAUAACAAAAUCAUUAUCUACAACAGAUGUCAAAUCCAUGUUCAUCAAGAAUGCUAUGGAGUUAGAGAUAUGAAUGAUUUCACAUCUUGGGUUUGUCAGGCGUGUGAAACACCCGAGGUUGAGCGAUAAUGUUGCCUUUGCCCUGUAAAAGGUGGUGCAUUGAAGCCGACUAAUAUUGAUACAUUGUGGGUCCAUGUAAUAUGAGCGUGGUUUCGACCGGAGGUUGCUUUUCUAAGCGGUGAAAAGAUGGAACCUGCAGUUGGGCUUUUACGGAUUCCACCCGAUUCAUUUGUUAAGGCAAUAUAAGAGGCGUACAGUAUAGAAAACGAGCAUUUGAAUUCUGGAUAUAGAGAUAGACAAGAACGUUCUAGCGAAUCGGAUCUGGUUGAGAUCCAUGUGGGACCUGCUACAGAUCUUGAUCAUGAAUAUUUCAAUCAUAAGAAGAUGUAAUGUGAUGGUUGUAAUCUUUGGGUACAUGUUUAAUACAAUGAAAUUUCAAGCAAUCACUUCACGGAUCCGGAAAACAAUGAAUAUUACUUCCCAGAAUGCAAGGGUCAGUUUUCAUUUGACCAAUCGGUUGUAGACGAAAGUCAAUCUAAAGUCAGCAGUUGUACAGAAAGCAAUGACCAGAUUACACUUCCUGACAAAAUAGUUGUCGUCUGUACGGACGUUGAAAGCAUUUACUAUCCAAAUCUUCAUCUGAUUCAGUGUAAGUGUGGUUCAUGUGGGACCAGGAAGC
This 3611-nucleotide long non-coding RNA is filed under the name Helianthus annuus (common sunflower). Lineage: Eukaryota; Viridiplantae; Streptophyta; Magnoliopsida; Asterales; Asteraceae. The record is from RNAcentral.